RNAcentral lists this ribosomal RNA (253 nucleotides) under uncultured bacterium. RNAcentral describes it as "partial 16S ribosomal RNA". It matches the Rfam family "Bacterial small subunit ribosomal RNA", at positions 524 to 776 of the family's 1533-position model. The record is from RNAcentral.
UACAGAGGUCUCAAGCGUUGUUCGGAUUCAUUGGGCGUAAAGGGUGCGUAGGUGGCGCUGUAAGUCGGGUGUGAAAUUUCGGAGCUUAACUCCGAAACUGCAUUCGAUACUGCGGUGCUUGAGGACUGGAGAGGAGACUGGAAUUCAUGGUGUAGCAGUGAAAUGCGCAGAUAUCAGGAGGAACACCAAUGGCGAAGGCAGCUCGCUGGAACGGUACUGACGCUGAGGCGCGAAAGCGUGGGGAGCGAACAGG